UUUCUCGUCAAGUCAAUGUCCAUGGCACGGAUUGCUGACGCGCAAAGCGCUGUUUUGAAAAGAUGAGCAUUCUUGAGUAGAUUUUUCUCAGGACGUCAAAGGUCAUAUUUGAAGCCCAAGGGGGAUAUUGGGAACACACUUCUCCUUGUCACUUUUUCAUAGCUUCGUGGACUUUCUGUAAGCCUUGCCAUAUCUGAGACAAUGACAUGAGUUGAUGUUCCGUUUCUUUUGAAGCACCCUGUUCAACGGCCGGAAGGUAAAUUGCGUGCUCAAUAUUUCGGCCAAACGACUGGGGACAUUCGACGAGGUUUCCUGUUUAAUCUAGAUGCAACUAACUAGGCCAUUGUCCAGUCAAUCAAGUUUGCAUCAUUGCAAGUAUAUGUACUAAGUUAUGUCACAUAUUUCAUUCAAAAUUAUCAUAGUGUCACAACAUUAUCAUCGCUUAUGGUCAUCAGCACAAUUAUAUCCCAUCAUGAGAAGCGAAAUCAUGAAGAAACAUUGCCAAAGCAACCGAAAAGGAAGUAGGGAAAGUGAAACCGAUGCUACUUUCAAUGAUUACCUUUUUGUCCUUUUGCUAUGUCUUUAGUACCUCAGUUAGGCUCUAAGUGACAGUUAAGACAGAUUUUGUUCAGUACUUAGAUCCUGUUAGUCGCAAUGGAUGGGAGCCUCAAGCUACACAAAAAUGGCUUAUCUUUUGCCCGGCGAGGUACAAUUUCCUAGUUUUCGUGAGCUAGCCUUUUGCAAAUGUACCGCCGAUUACGUAGGCUGAUUCUUCCAAGUUAGUUUCUAAUGCACACAUGGUGAUGUCAGAAACAAGUCGUACACUUUCAAAAUAUUUUGCAUGGUUAGUGUCCUGAUUGGGGUCGUUUUCUCGAAUGUGAUGGUUGUUUGUCGAUGGCACAGGUGUGAUGAAGAGGCUUGGGAUGGGACAAGAACCAAAUGAUUCUUUGUGUCAUUUGCGUAUGCAUGAUGAUACGAGUGGCAAUGCAAGCACUAUUAAACAAAUGACGCCCGCAGUUGGAAUGGACGCCCGCAGUUGGAAUGGACUACGACAGUUAUCUUGAACCAAAUUGCUCUACAACACAUGAUACAACCAUAAUUGGUUAGUUGUUGUGGCCCAGGGGGGCCUGAAAGUGAAAAUUUCUCCUCAUAUUAGAAACAUUCCCACGGCGAAUGAACCGAUUGCUUCAUACACCGCCUCUCAGAGUCAUGUAUGUCAGCUCAAUAGGAAACUUCAAACGGUCGCAAUUUUACCCUUCAGUAAGCAAUAUAUCUGUCUCAAUAGGGCCACGGAGGUCAUGCUUCAUGGGUUCAGGUGGAAGAGUAUGAUUCGACUUUCAGAGGUCAAUCAAACGAUAUGCAUGAAUUUAAGACGGCAUCGCCUUGGCACUUCAUAUUCCAACGUUCCAUUUGCCAUCAUGCUUACUCACAUCUACUACUCUCAACAUGACGGGGAUGAUGACACUUUUUCUCCCAUAAACCCCAUUCAAUCCCUCGGAAAUAAAUUCAUGGUCUACAUGA
Tigriopus californicus is the source of this 1521-nucleotide long non-coding RNA. RefSeq lists it as uncharacterized. Lineage: Eukaryota; Metazoa; Arthropoda; Copepoda; Harpacticoida; Harpacticidae. The record is from RefSeq and is a predicted model, not a curated record. The transcript is spliced from 2 exons.